GACGAACGCUGGCGGCGUGCUUAACACAUGCAAGUCGAACGGUGAAGCGCCUUCCUUUUUGGUGGGUGUGGAUGAGUGGCGAACGGGUGAGUAACACGUGAGUAACCUGCCCCCUUCUUCUGGAUAACCGCAUGAAAGUGUGGCUAAUACGGGAUAUUCUGGGUCUGUCGCAUGAUGGGUCUGGGAAAGAUAUUGUUUCGGUGGGGGAUGGGCUCGCGGCCUAUCAGCUUGUUGGUGGGGUGAUGGCCUACCAAGGCGGUGACGGGUAGCCGGCCUGGGAGGGUGGACGGUCACACUGGGACUGAGACACGGCCCAGACUCCGACGGGAGGCAGCAGUGGGGAAUAUUGCACAAUGGGCGCAAGCCUGAUGCAGCGACGCGGCGGGAGGGAUGGAGGCCUUCGGGUUGUGAACCUCUUUCGCCAGUGAAGCAGGCCUGCCUCGUUUGUGGGUGGGUUGACGGUAGCUGGAUAAGAAGCGCCGGCUAACUACGUG
This 494-nucleotide ribosomal RNA is filed under the name uncultured bacterium. RNAcentral describes it as "partial 16S ribosomal RNA". It matches the Rfam family "Bacterial small subunit ribosomal RNA", at positions 28 to 507 of the family's 1533-position model. The record is from RNAcentral.